GCGCAGCUUACACAUGCAAGUCGAACGCAUCGCAAGAUGAGUGGCAGACGGGUGAGUAACGCGUGGGAACAUACCCUUUCCUGCGGAAUAGCUCCGGGAAACUGGAAUUAAUACCGCAUACGCCCUACGGGGGAAAGAUUUAUCGGGGAAGGAUUGGCCCGCGUUGGAUUAGCUAGUUGGUGGGGUAAAGGCCUACCAAGGCGACGAUCCAUAGCUGGUCUGAGAGGAUGAUCAGCCACAUUGGGACUGAGACACGGCCCAAACUCCUACGGGAGGCAGCAGUGGGGAAUAUUGGACAAUGGGCGCAAGCCUGAGCCAGCCCUGCCGCGAGAGUGAUGAAGGCCUUUAGGCUGUAAAGCUCUUUCACCGAUGAAGAUAAUGACUGUGGUCCUUUACCACA
RNAcentral lists this ribosomal RNA (400 nucleotides) under Agrobacterium sp. M071019S-4. Its description in RNAcentral is "bacterial SSU rRNA". It matches the Rfam family "Bacterial small subunit ribosomal RNA", at positions 42 to 477 of the family's 1533-position model. The record is from RNAcentral. Lineage: Bacteria; Pseudomonadati; Pseudomonadota; Alphaproteobacteria; Hyphomicrobiales; Rhizobiaceae.